AAAAUAAAAAACAUAGAUGGCUUGUAUUAUAAACAUCCAAGGCUAUACUUUUCACUUUUAAUUUUAAAGCUAUACCCUCAAUCCUUAGUUUUACAUUAUGCUACAAUUGUGCUUAGUUUUAAUUGCUUCUGUCAUCAUGAAUAUGAUAAUGGUAUUAGGAUUAUGUUUAACGGAUAAAAAUUGAGGCCACGUCAGAACUUGACCCCAUUGUGGUUCUUUUCUUGAACCAAUAUUUUAUUAGUAUUUAGAUAAUUCUCCUAAUUAUUUGACUCUUGCAUUCAAUGUUACAUUUCUAGUCCAAGGAUCUAAUCCACUUUUGUGUUAACUGUCUCCAGAGGUUUUUGCACUUAUAAACAUACUUAGGACUCUGACUUGGACGAGUUAAUUCUUCCCAAGAUGGAAGAGAGUUUUUGCUAGUGAAUAUAAGCCACUUGUCAUGUCGAGUGGAGCAGCCGAGGAUGGGAGACCAGGAGCUGUUCCUGAGUUGUGGUUAUUAGUACUUUAGUCUGCAUACCUUGUGUCGAGGGAAAUCAGCUCUGCCUUGUGUCGAGGGGAAUCUAUCUUUUUUGGAAGUGUGUAAUCAACGAUGAUGGGAUAACAAACAUACAUGGAAAAAUUUCCCAAGUAUGUGGCCAAUUGUACUCAACAAGAGUGUUCAUUGGAUACGCCAACAAGGACCGUUAAGCAUUAUCUUCAUUUUGCCUGUACCUGCUGACUCAUCUUUAUUUGUAGCUGAAAUGAUUGAAGGGAAAAUUGAUGUUAUGGUAUUAUGACCUAGACCUCGUGGAAAAUUGAUGUUAUGGUACUAUGACCUAGACCUCGUAAUUUAUUGUGGUGCUUUUUGCCAGAGAAAUUGUACUGUAUAAACUUUGUGCAAGAUCUGUGCCUUAUUGGUC
This is a long non-coding RNA of Olea europaea var. sylvestris, 896 nucleotides long. RefSeq lists it as uncharacterized. The transcript has 2 exons. The record is from RefSeq and is a predicted model, not a curated record. NCBI's taxonomy places the organism in Eukaryota, Viridiplantae, Streptophyta, Magnoliopsida, Lamiales, Oleaceae.